AGUGAACGCUGGCGGUAGGCCUAACACAUGCAAGUCGAACGGCAGCACAGUAAGAGCUUGCUCUUACGGGUGGCGAGUGGCGGACGGGUGAGGAAUACAUCGGAAUCUACUUUUUCGUGGGGGAUAACGUAGGGAAACUUACGCUAAUACCGCAUACGACCUACGGGUGAAAGCAGGGGAUCUUCGGACCUUGCGCGAUUGAAUGAGCCGAUGUCGGAUUAGCUAGUUGGCGGGGUAAAGGCCCACCAAGGCGACGAUCCGUAGCUGGUCUGAGAGGAUGAUCAGCCACACUGGAACUGAGACACGGUCCAGGCUCCUACGGGAGGCAGCAGUGGGGAAUAUUGGACAAGGGGGGCAAGCCUGAUCCAGCCAUACCGCGUGGGUGAAGAAGGCCUUCGGGUGGUAAAGCCCUUUUGUUGGGAAAGAAAAGCAGCAGGUUAAUACCCCGCUGUUCUGACGGUACCCAAAGAAUAAGCACCGGCUAACUUCGU
This 491-nucleotide ribosomal RNA is filed under the name uncultured bacterium. RNAcentral's name for it is "partial 16S ribosomal RNA". It matches the Rfam family "Bacterial small subunit ribosomal RNA", at positions 29 to 506 of the family's 1533-position model. The record is from RNAcentral.